GUGAGGAAUAUUGGACAAUGGGCGCAAGCCUGAUCCAGCCAUGCCGCGUGCAGGAAGACGCAUCUAUGGUGUGUAAACUGCUUUUGUACGGGAAGAAACACUCCCUCGUGAGGGAGCUUGACGGUACCGUAAGAAUAAGGAUCGGCUAACUCCGUGCCAGCAGCCGCGGUAAUACGGAGGAUCCAAGCGUUAUCCGGAAUCAUUGGGUUUAAAGGGUCCGUAGGCGGUUUAAUAAGUCAGUGGUGAAAGCCCAUCGCUCAAAGAUGGAACGGCCAUUGAUACUGUUAGACUUGAAUUACAAGGAAGUAACUAGAAUAUGUAGUGUAGCGGUGAAAUGCUUAGAUAUUACAUGGAAUACCAAUUGCGAAGGCAGGUUACUACUUGUGGAUUGACGCUGAUGGACGAAAGCGUGGGGAGCGAACAGGAUUAGAUACCCUGGUAGUCC
RNAcentral lists this ribosomal RNA (445 nucleotides) under uncultured bacterium. RNAcentral describes it as "partial 16S ribosomal RNA". It matches the Rfam family "Bacterial small subunit ribosomal RNA", at positions 354 to 796 of the family's 1533-position model. The record is from RNAcentral.